Long non-coding RNA from Dreissena polymorpha, 7893 nucleotides. RefSeq lists it as uncharacterized. Lineage: Eukaryota; Metazoa; Mollusca; Bivalvia; Myida; Dreissenidae. The transcript is spliced from 11 exons. The record is from RefSeq and is a predicted model, not a curated record.
UACUCAGGAAGAUGGAGUGAGGAGCCCAUGGUUAGUCUGCUACAGCAGCACCACAUCAUCCAUCAUUGUGGGACAGAAGUGGGUCGACAACAUCCUGGUGUUCAGAGUGGAAUAGUGUGUACAUUCGCUGCUGAGUCAGGACAAGGAUGCUGAGGAUGUGGUGGACAAGGAUGACCUGAAUACACAGAAGGAGAGCCCCGGUUUUGAUAUUGAGUUGGUACGGCAACAGCACCAGUCGGGCCUGCACAAGCCUCAAGUCAAGCACGACCCCUCCCCUGACCCCUAGCUUCUCCCAUUUGACUUCCAGCUUCAAAGGGUCAGCAUCGUUGAACAAAUUCCUCCUAUAAAAAAUUUUGAGCACAAAGAGUUUUCACACAUGGUUCUCAUCAACCACAAUUUUCGUGUCGAGUGAUCCGCACUUGAGUCUGUUUGGUUUGUUAGACCCGAGUGCCAGAGAUGGGACAACCAUUACAGACACAAGGACUUAUUGCAGCAGUUAUGGCAACAUGUACAGUCAGUUCUCAAUGUUGGACUUCACAACUAAUAUCACGAUAAAUACAAAGUUGGAUAACUCGUUCCAUUCUUUUUGGGACAAACAAUACAACGGAAAGUAACAAGAGAAAAUCAAGGAAUAUUUGUAGAGUUUUAGUCGGAAGCGUUUGCUUACCACUGGCAUACUCCUGGACAGUCGUAACUUUACGGACAGUCCCGGUUUGUCCUCACAGGUGUCCAAACUGUCCAAAGAGAACGCACUUUUGACGCAGUUGCUAACUUAGAAAGGCAGCACCUACUUUGUUGUGAACACUCAGAGCAUCCAUGGCCAUGCCUCAGGCGGGAAGUUCGACCAACAGCUGAAACAAGAUGCUAAAGGUGAACCCAUCAGGGUUUGUAACUUCCCACUCCAAUCCUUAACAGCCUGGCAUUGAGUCGGCGCUUGAGAAGGCGUUGAAAAAUGACAGCAGUUUUGUUUUGUGGUCCAGUAUGCCCUUUGGCUUUCAACCUGAUGUUAGGUAGAACUCAAACUGGGCCCUUAGCAAUAUCAGCGAGGCUAGAAUGUCAUCUCUGCAUCUUGAGCUUCAGAAAACAUUAAAAGCAAACAAGACAAACAUCAUGAAUGUUUAGGCAAUCCCAAUCCACUUAUACUACAACUCGCUCAGGAAAUUCAGCACGCCACCUUUUAACAUUUUCUCACAAGGCGCUAAAUCAACACUUCCAACAGCUGAGCCUUGGACAGCACCACCUUUGAUAUCGAGUUGGCCCAGCAACAGCACCAGUCCGGCCUGCAGGAGCCCCAGUCCAGGACGACCCAUCCACUCCCCUGACCCAUAACUCAUCAUACUUGAUAUUCGAAAAAAUGGGGCCUUAUGCAUGUGCUUAAAUUGUUAUCACAGAUAAGCCUAUGCAGUUUGCACAGGCUAAUAAUGGACAACAUUUUUCUCUUUAAGCAGAGCACCAGCAUUGAUAUCGAGUUGGCCCAGCAAGUGCACCAGUCCCGCCUGCAGAAGCCCCAGUCCAGAACGACCCUUCCCCUCCCUUGACUUCUAACUCCUCCCCCUUGACCGCCUGCCUAAAAAAGUCAGCAUCAUUGAACAACUCCGUUGUGCAGGAAAUUCUGAGCAUGAUUCUGUUCUGAACAAACGCAAUGCCAACGUCAAGUUGUCCACACAUAAGCCUGGGUAGUUUUGUUAAGCUAGAGUUCCCCGUGGGCCUGAGAGGGACGAGUGUUACAGACACGAAAAGUUAUAGCAGUAGUUAUGGUAACGCUAACAGUCAGUUGUUGCUGUUGGACAUCACAACAAAUAUCAUGAAGAAUAAAAAUUUCAAUAAGUUGUUCCAAUCUUUAUGGGACAAACAGAAAUUGAACGGAAGAAAAUCAAGGAACAAUAAAAGCGUACGCUUUCCUAGUGGGAUCCAUCUGCUGUUGAUAGUUUGAACAAUAGUAGGGUUACGGACUGCCCCAGAUUGUCCUCUCAGCGGCCUGAAUAUCAUAAUAGAACGGACUUUUGGCAAUAUUUCUGACAAAGAAAGGCAACUUGGUUGUGAAUACCCAGAGCACGAUACAUCCGUGCUGACAAAGAAAGGCGGUUAUGACUUGGUUGUGAACACCCAGAGCGCAAUACAUCAAUGCUGACACAGUAAGGCAGUAAUGACUUGGUUGUGAACACCCAGAGCACAAUACAUCCAUGCUGACACAGAAAGGCAGUCAUGACUUGGUUGUGAACACCCAGAGCACAAUACAUACAUGCUGACACAGAAAGGAAGGAAUGACUUGGCUGUGAACACAGAACACGAUACACCCAUGCUGACACAGAAAGGCAGUAAUGACUUGACUGUGAAAACAGAGCACAAUACAUCCAUGCUGAAACAGAAUGGCAGUCAUGACUAUGCUGUGAACACCCAGAGCACGAUAUAUCCAUGCUGACACAGAAAGGCAGGAAUGACUAUGCUGUGAACACCCAGAGCAAGAUAUAUCCAUGCUGACACAGAAAGGCAGUAAUGACUAUGCUGUGAAAACCCACAGAAAGAUAUAUCCAUGCUGACACAGAAAGGCAGUAAUGACUUGGUUUUGAACAACCAGAGCAAGUUAUAUCUAUGCUGACACAGAAAGGCAGUUAUGACUUGGCUGUGAACACAGAACACAAUACACCCAUGCUGUGAACACAGAGCACAAUACAUCCAUGCUGACACAGAAAGGCAGUAAUGACUUGACUGUGAGCACAGAACACCAUACAUCCAUGCUGAUACAGAAAGGCAGUAAUGACUUGGCUGUGAACACAGAGCACAAUACAUCCAUGCUGACACAGAAACGCAGUUAUGACUUAGUUGUGAACACAGAGCACAAUACAUCCUUGUUGACACAGAAAGGCAGUAAUGACUUGGCUGUGAACACAGAGCACAAUACAUCCAUGCUGACACAGAAAGGCAGUUAUUACUUGGUUGUGAACACAGAGCACAAUACAUCCUUGUUGACACGGAAAGGCAGUUAUGACUUUGCCGUGAACUGAGAGCACGAUACAUCCAUGCUGACACAGAAAGGCAGUAAUGACUUGGAUGUAAACACCCAGAGCACAAUACAUCCAUGCUGGCACAGAAAGGCAGUAAUGACUAUGCUGUGAACACCCAGAGCACAAUACAUCCAUGCUGAAACAGAAAGGCAGUAAUAACUUGGUUGUGAACACAGAGCACAAUACAUCCUUGUUGACACAGAAAGGCAGUAAAGACUUUGUUAUAAACACUAAGAUAUCCAUACAUCCAUGGGGUGUGCCACAGACGCAAAUUACGCCCACCAUUUUGAACAAGGUGCUUAAAGUGAACACGUCUGGUUUUGCUAUGAGCACUUAGCACUCCGAGUUCAAAAGGCCUCACAUUGAAUUGAUGCAAGAGAAGGCUUUGAAAAAUAACAGCAGUUUUGUUGUGUGGUCCAGUACGCCCCCCGACUCGCAACCUGAAGAAAGCAGAACUCAAACUCGUCUCUUAGCAAUAUCAGCAAGGCCAGCAUGUCCUCUCAGCUUCUAGAGCUUCAGUGAACUUUACGAGCAAACAUGACUAACGUCAUUAAAGUGAAAGUCGAUGACAACCCCCUUCUUGCACAAAUACUACAACUCGCUUAAGAAAUUCAGCACAACGACGUCUUGCGUCAGACUACCAAGCCUCCUAUCAAUAUCUCCUCCCAUGUUGGCUUCAGCAACACUUCCAACAGCAGAGCCUUGGUGAGUUGGACUUCCGUCUCAGCAUCGAUGUCGCUUAGCAACAAUUGGAUGAUGGGCGUCGACAAAUUAGACCGGACAAGUCGCUCAAACUGAAAUGAUCUGAUCUAACAGGUAGAGCAGGCAUUGCGUGACACGUCCGUUAAUGUGACUGACCUCAAUAUGUUGUUCUCGAAUAAUGUGAACCUUAGGCCUGGAGAGCAGUAUGCGAUUGACACCAUUCAACAACAGUUGUUGUUGGCAUUUCUCAGGUUUGGGGUGGCGACUUCGGCGUCAAGACUCGCUCCAUCUCUGUCCAUGGCCCAGUUGCAGCAGCAACAGCAGCAGCAACAGCAGCAGCAACAAGAAAAAUAAAGCCUGUUUCUACAGGAACCUAUGCAAUCAUAGAUCGGUACCUAGCUGAACAACAUGCUCUCUGGUCAGCUGGGCCCAGACGCCCAGGGACACCUCCUGGCCCAGGACCUUGGGACAAAUGUUCAAAUAGUACUACCCACAGGAUGAAGCCACUCUGAAUCCGGGGCUCCAUACUUUCUUGGCCAGGGGACAAGACUACCUCGUCAAUAAGAGGCCUUAUACUCACAAGUUCAAGCCCAGUGAGCGAUGUUCACCAAAUCCUACUCUACAUCUCAAUAGAAACCCGGAUAGCAAGGCGUUGAGUUUGUUCUUGAAGCAUUUGCACCAGAAGAAGUCAGCAUCUUGAUAUUCUGGAAUCUCCAUGGUGAAGGACCCUCAGUCUGUGAACAAAAUGCAGAGCGAACCUCAGAUGCCUUUUGACGAAAUCAAACCAUCCAAUCAGAAACACAGACUGCAUGUCACAGCAGUUGUUACCAUAUUGACCCUAGUCAAACGUAAGAAGCUCAGAGAUAAAUACUGAUUUAGUUCUGCUAGUCUCUACAUACCUCCUGGUUUGGUCAGCACUUACUCUGACUCUUUGAAUAUUAUGACAGAUGGAAAUGAAUGACCUUGUUCAGAUCGAAAUGGCAGAAUGACACAUCACAAGAAUUCAAGCGAAAAGCCAGAAAUCAUAUCAACAGCCACAUUUUGUAUGUCACCCGUCAAGUUGUAUUCAAAGACGAACAAUAGUUUCUGCUCUAUUGUGUAUGUGACCAGUCAAGUUGUAUUCAAAGAAAAACAAUAGUUUACGUUUUAUUUUUUAUGUGACCAACCAAGUUGUUUGUAUAGGUCCCUGGUUUAACAAAGCAUUUAAAGUAUUUUUAAAUUGAUGAAACUUUCACAACAGAUGUUGAUCCUGAUUAUGGUAAAUAAAUGGGAAAUACAAUGUUAUCAAAGAUUUGUUAAGAUUGCCAAAGCUGUUUAAAUGAUGCUGGUAACUUGAACAAAAUUGAAAAAAAUAUUGGAGUGUUUUCAAGCUAUAAGACAUGUUUCAGUUGUCUGUUUUAACCCGUAGAUAUAGAUAAGCUAGUGAAAAAUAUUUGUUCAGAAAGAGGUAAAAUGUUUACGCUUCAGAUUUUUAUCUAUCAACCUUAUGAAAACAAUACUAGUCAAUUGGCUCAUUCGGGUCGGUUUUCGACCAUGAAUCUUGUUUAGUAGCAUACUAUGUAUUUCAUGGGAAUAUAAAUAAAUUCUGGGUGAAAUAAUUUAAUCUACCUUAAAUAAUCGAUUCUGUAUUUACUACUAGUACUUUGUUGAUUUAAAUGGAUAUUGUAUGUUAAAUGAUUAGAGUAUGACUCUUGUUGAAAAGCUUUAAAUGAAACUGUGAAUUAAAAAAUAAAUAUUAUUUUGUUUUAGAGUUUUAUGAAAAAUGGCAAAAAGAUUGUUAAGUUGUGUUGUUUGAGUGUUAAAAUUUGUUUUUGGACAUAAUAGUUUAUUAUGCUUUAUGGUUGUAUAUGUACAUGAAGACGACCAGAUUGUAUCCUCUUUAAUCAGUGAGUAAUUUAAUCAAGAUUUUUUGAUCACUGUAUCAAGUGUAUAUGUUGCCAUUUAUACAUAGAGCAACUGUAAAACAAUUGUAUUUUAAAUGUAAUGUAUCCAUGUAUUGUUGCCAUUUUUAUAAGAUAAACUCACUGUUAACAUUUAUUUGUACAAACCAUUGUUUAAAAAACAUUUCUUGUGUCAAUGCUAAAAUAUGUAUUAAACUGUUAAAAUAAUGCACAGUAACAACUUCUGAAGAGAAAAAUAUACUUAAGGCAAUAGAAACACAUUGUUAUAUGAAAUGCUUUUUAUUAUUAACACCUACUUAAAAUUUGUUUAAUUUUGUUUUACAUUAUCUGAAGAAAAAAUAGUGCCUUGUAAUUUGAAAUCAGUCAAUGAAAAAUUAAGGGAGUGUUGCCAUAUGCUAACACUAGUCAAGAAAUGCAAUUGUCUCUUUAAGUAAUACAACAGAGCAAAACAAUUUGCUUAAACAAGAGCACCGCAUAAAGGGUGCCAUGCUCGGCUACGGGUGCAGUUUUGAAUAAAUGAAAGCUUGUCAGAAUUUAUUUGAGAGGUCACAGUGACUUGACCAUUGACCUAGUGACCCCAAAAUGGGUGUGGUGUGUAGAACUCAUCAAUGUGCAUCUACAUAUGAAGUUUGAAAGUUGUAGUUGGAAGCACUUUGAUUUAGAGCCAAUGUUAAGGUUUUAGCACGACGCGGACGACACGACGAACUGACUAUGACAAUACCUCGGGUUUUCUCCGAAAAUACCGAGCUAAAAAUAAAAACUAAGAUGUCUGCUUUGCAUUUUUUUAAAUAGACACUUAUGAAUGUGCUUAUAUUAAACAUGAACAGUAUUGACAUAUUGCUUAUGAUAAAGUUUGACAUUUUAUUAGUUUUGUAACGGCGUGUUUCACCUUUCACAUUGACCAUCCCACAAUCCCACAUUUGCUUUCAGUGGGGCCAGUUUCUGUAAAUCUUCCACUACAAGUUCAGCAAUUGUUUUAUGACCAGAUUUUCUCAUAUUUGGGAAUGUUCAUAUUUACUUUUUAUUGAAUGCAUGAAACAUAUUUGUUCUGUUUUUUAAUAACUGAAAAUAGCUUGAUGUUUGUAAAUUGUGUGACAUGUUUAUCAAAUUGAUACAUAGAAAAAAAAACAUUUUGCAUUUAUUUGUAUUUGUAGCUAAACAACACAUGUUACCAAAUACAAAUUUAAGUAUUUGGUAUAAAUAUAUAAUGAUUGUGCUAUAUUCGUAUUACCGUAUGAAAUGCAAUUUUAAUUAUAAUGUGUUUAUAUGUUCGUCUACUCCAAAUAAUCCAAAUAAUCAUUUUAAAGAAGUAAAUAUAGGGUAAUAAUGUCUAUGGAAAGUACCCGUAGGCACGUUUCAAUUGCUUGUGUACCUCAUACGGAUCAGCGUCUUUCUAAAUUAUUGCAUGAUUGUUAAUGCCUUUGUCUGAUUGUGUAAAUAUCUUCAAAGAUAUUUGUUAAGAGGCUUUAAAUAUUUAAAGAUAAACUAGCAUCUAAACUUUAACGGGGCAUCUUUUGCAUUUAUUUUAACGUGUUUAUAUUGGUUUGCUUACCGAGUUUAAUAUUGUCUAUAUUCGUGCGUAAUUUUAUUGUGGUUGUUUUGUUAAGACAAAGCCCAUAUCACUAAUGCUGUUGUUUUUGUUUUAUGUUAUAUGUAAAUAAUUAAACAUCUUUAUUUUGGUGAUAUGUAUUUCCCAAUCUAAGUGUAAUGUUGCAUUCUCAAUGAAGUACAUUGUUAUACACGUGGAAUAGUAUUGCUAAGUGACAAUUUGUUGUCUUUACAAAUAAAAACCGCAAGGAUUGUCGUAUCAAUUAUAUAGCUUUCCCCUAUUGAACUGGUGUAAAAACGUGACCGUGAGCUCAUUUUGUUUUAUGUUAACUGCCAAUAUAUAUAUAUAUAGAAAGAAAUUGUUCAAACAAUGUAAAAAAUGUGUAUCUUAUACCCUAGCGCUUUCGACUACACGUCUUCUUCAGGGGUGUAUACAGAUAUGAGUUAAUGAUUCCCCAGUGCGAAUGCACAAUUGAGGUUAACUUAUUGGCUUUCAGUAAUGUUUUUUUUAGUUAUGUGUCGUUUUAUUUUUGUAUUUAUUUAUGCAUAUUAAAAUUGUGUUAUAGACUGACGCCCGUACUAUAAAUUAUAUCGAUGUUAUAAUGAAAAAUAUUAUAAUUUGCAGUGAACGUUUUGCAUUCAGUAUUGUGUCAUAUUUAUUUUUCGUUUUAUGAUUAUGUACAUACACCUAUUAAAAUUGUGUGUUAUAAAAUGGCGCUUACAAUGUUUAUUAUAUC